CCGAAACGCUAGGGGCGCCCCACUGGGGCUGAGAGGUACCCUUGGAACCUGAUCCGGGUCAUGCCGGCGUAGGGAAGCGGAUCUCCAGGGCG
RNAcentral lists this non-coding RNA (92 nucleotides) under Acidithiobacillus caldus. RNAcentral describes it as "TPP sequence". It matches the Rfam family "TPP riboswitch aptamer (THI element)". Rfam says of the family: Vitamin B(1) in its active form thiamin pyrophosphate (TPP) is an essential coenzyme that is synthesised by coupling of pyrimidine and thiazole moieties in bacteria. Lineage: Bacteria; Pseudomonadati; Pseudomonadota; Acidithiobacillia; Acidithiobacillales; Acidithiobacillaceae. RNAcentral also lists the same sequence under 1 other name. The record is from RNAcentral.